This 217-nucleotide long non-coding RNA is filed under the name Panax ginseng (ginseng). Its description in RNAcentral is "long non-coding RNA (PGIN_LNC000829)". Lineage: Eukaryota; Viridiplantae; Streptophyta; Magnoliopsida; Apiales; Araliaceae. The record is from RNAcentral.
UUAGCCCGAUUUGCUUCACAUCAGGUUGACACGGAGGCCAGGAAGGCAAGGAGGUUUGAACUAGGACUGAAACCAUGGGUGCAGAAGGAAGUCGUCAUGUUAAAGAUCAAGACUUACUCCAAUCUUUUGGAAAGGGCUAUCAUUACCGAAGGAGGCAAUGAAGCCAUCACUCUAUUUAAGCAAGAAAAGAAGACCGGUUAGGAAGGUCAGAAAGGGG